RNAcentral lists this unclassified non-coding RNA (266 nucleotides) under Hevea brasiliensis (rubber tree). Lineage: Eukaryota; Viridiplantae; Streptophyta; Magnoliopsida; Malpighiales; Euphorbiaceae. The record is from RNAcentral.
UAGACAUGAUAAUUUCAUUUUGACUCACAUCCAACAGCGGAUUGCUGACCCCUUAAAGCUAACAUAGCAUUGGAUUUAGACCAUCCAACAUUGUUCAAAUUUGAAAUAUACAAUUUACAAGUAAAAAUUAUUUUUUAAUCAAACAUUGAAAUUUAGGCCAAUUACAACAGCAAUCCUAAAGAAGGAACAAUUAACGAUUGUGGAUAACAACGGAAACUAUUAUUCAGGUGAAAAAAGACUGCAUACCUUUUCAUCGAAGAGAGCAG